UUUCCGUAGGUGAACCUGCGGAAGGAUCAUUCAUAAUAAAGUGUUUUAUGGCACUUUUAAAAAAUCCAUAUCCACCUUGUGUGCAAUGUUAGAUCUCGUCAAUCUUGGCGAGAUUUUUUUACAUCAACUCAUUCUUUAACUAAUUUGUCUGAAAAAUAUUAUGAAUACUUAAUUCAAAAUACAACUUUCAACAACGGAUCUCUUGGCUCUC
Molecule: unclassified non-coding RNA, 211 nt
Filed under: plant metagenome
Description: partial contains small subunit ribosomal RNA, internal transcribed spacer 1, and 5.8S ribosomal RNA
Source: RNAcentral